UCCCCCUAGUAACUGCGAGUGAAGCGGGAAAAGCUCAAAUUUAAAAUCUGGUGGUCUUUGGCCAUCCGAGUUGUAAUUUAGAGAAGCGUCUUCCGCGCUGGACCGUGCAUAAKUCUCCUGGAAUGGAGCGUCAUAGAGGGUGAGAAUCCCGUCUUUGGCACGGAAAUCCCAGGGCUUCUGUGAUGCGCUCUCGAAGAGUCGAGUUGUUUGGGAAUGCAGCUCAAAAUGGGUGGUGAACUCCAUCUAAAGCUAAAUAUUGGCGAGAGACCGAUAGCGAACAAGUACCGUGAGGGAAAGAUGAAAAGCACUUUGGAAAGAGAGUGAAACAGUACGUGAAAUUGUUGAAAGGGAAACGCUUAAAGUCAGUCACGUCGACCGAGACUCAGCCUUGCCUAGGCUUGGUGUACUUCUCGGCUGAUGGGUCAGCAUCAAUUUUGAUCCUCGGAUAAUGGCAAUGGAAAGGUAGCACCUUUACAGGUGUGUUAUAGUCCUAUGUCGCAUGCGGGGGUCGGGAUUGAGGAACUCAGCAUGCACCCCUUGGUGUCAGGGCCUCUGCGGCCCAUGUUACGUGCUUAGGAUGCUGGCAUAAUGGCUUUAAACGACCCGUCUUGAAACACGGACCAAGGAGUCUAACAUACCCGCGAGUGUUUGGGUGGAAAACCCAUGCGCGUAAUGAAAGUAAAAGUUGGGACCUCUGUCGUGGAGGGCACCGACGCCUGGACCAGACCUUCUGUGACGGCUCUACGGUAGAGCGUGUAUGUUGGGACCCGAAAGAUGGUGAACUAUGCCUGAAUAGGGUGAAGCCAGAGGAAACUCUGGUGGAGGCUCGUAGCGAUUCUGACGUGCAAAUCGAUCGUCAAAUUUGGGUAUAGGGGCGAA
Molecule: ribosomal RNA, 879 nt
Filed under: Russula sp.
Lineage: Eukaryota; Fungi; Basidiomycota; Agaricomycetes; Russulales; Russulaceae
Description: partial large subunit ribosomal RNA
Source: RNAcentral